UACGUAGGGUGCAAGCGUUGUCCGGAAUUAUUGGGCGUAAAGAGCUCGUAGGCGGUUUGUCACGUCGGCUGUGAAAACCCGGGGCUUAACCCCGGGCCUGCAGUCGAUACGGGCAGGCUAGAGUUCGGCAGGGGAGACUGGAAUUCCUGGUGUAGCGGUGAAAUGCGCAGAUAUCAGGAGGAACACCGGUGGCGAAGGCGGGUCUCUGGGCCGAUACUGACGCUGAGGAGCGAAAGCGUGGGGAGCGAACAGG
This 253-nucleotide ribosomal RNA is filed under the name uncultured bacterium. RNAcentral describes it as "partial 16S ribosomal RNA". It matches the Rfam family "Bacterial small subunit ribosomal RNA", at positions 524 to 776 of the family's 1533-position model. The record is from RNAcentral.